This 373-nucleotide ribosomal RNA is filed under the name uncultured bacterium. RNAcentral describes it as "bacterial SSU rRNA". It matches the Rfam family "Bacterial small subunit ribosomal RNA", at positions 525 to 896 of the family's 1533-position model. The record is from RNAcentral.
ACGUAGGGUGCGAGCGUUAAUCGGAAUUACUGGGCGUAAAGCGUGCGCAGGCGGUUUUGUAAGACAGACGUGAAAUCCCCGGGCUUAACCUGGGAACUGCGUUUGUGACUGCAAGGCUAGAGUAUGGCAGAGGGGGGUAGAAUUCCACGUGUAGCAGUGAAAUGCGUAGAGAUGUGGAGGAAUACCGAUGGCGAAGGCAGCCCCCUGGGUCAAUACUGACGCUCAUGCACGAAAGCGUGGGGAGCAAACAGGAUUAGAUACCCUGGUAGUCCACGCCCUAAACGAUGUCAACUAGGUGUUGGGGGAGGAGACUUCCUUAGUACCGCAGCUAACGCGUGAAGUUGACCGCCUGGGGAGUACGGCCGCAAGGUUG